GCUANGACGGANNAGAGCCUAGCGUUGAUAUCUCUAAUUCUAAGCACGGAGCUUGGGUUUUUUUUAAGUAACAAAUCGAACGCCACAUUGUCAGAACUGCUUGCUGCCAUUUAAAAAGACUCAAAAAUGGAGCGAUGAAUAUGGGUAUUUUCACCUUAUACUGGAUAGGUUUUAUAUUGAGCCGCCUUCUGACUGGCGCCGCUACUCUGGCAACAGAGCGGCGGAUGCCGGGAAGUUGGUCAAACUUGAUCAUUUAGAGGAAGUAAAAGUCGUAACAAGGUAACCGUA
This 288-nucleotide ribosomal RNA is filed under the name uncultured eukaryote. Its description in RNAcentral is "partial 18S small subunit ribosomal RNA". The record is from RNAcentral.